This is a long non-coding RNA of Microplitis mediator, 1363 nucleotides long. RefSeq lists it as uncharacterized. The record is from RefSeq and is a predicted model, not a curated record. The transcript has 3 exons. NCBI's taxonomy places the organism in Eukaryota, Metazoa, Arthropoda, Insecta, Hymenoptera, Braconidae.
CAGUUAUAUUUAAUUUUUUAAAUUUUAUACUUUAAGUUAAUUAUUAUUAUUAUUAUUAUUAUUAUUAUGAUAUUUUUCUGUAUGAUGCGAAGUCUUACUAUAAAGACACGAAUUCAACUCGGAAGAAUCAGUGAGGCUAAAAUCGUAGAUCGUAAUCUAUGCACAGUACCACUGAAUUUUCCAAUAUAAAGUUCAAGAUAUCAAAAACAUAAAGAUGUCGAAAGUAAUAUUUGUCGUUGUUGCACUACUCAUUGUUAUUGUAAUGAUGGGACAAAUUGCUGAAGCUUGCAAAUCAGAUUUUCGUGACUGUCUCAGUAAUGAAGACUGCUGUUCAGGGGACUGUGCUAAACAUUUAGAUUUUCUGGGUGUUUGGUUUUGUGCUCCUCGUUUCGGAUAGAAAAAUAAUAACUUCACUUGUCCAUACAGUUUUUUGUGUCAUACACUGUAAAAAAUCACCGGGGUAAGUCCAAACGGUGUAGGUGUUAAAAUUAUCGGUGUUAAAUUUACCCCCGAAAGCGGUGUGAAAAUAACGUCGCCACCGGUGUAAAUAUUUUAUAACGGUGUUAAAAUAUUUUAUUUUGUGAAUAUUUUUACUUACUCGAUCACUAUACUUGUUAAUAAAUGAUAUUCUUUUUUAAUUUUCAUAAAGAACUGACAUUUUUUGUGUUUUAUAAUCUUUAAAGUUAAUAAUCCAAGCGGACGCAGAUUACCUUGCUUUUACACCGGUUAUCCCGCUUUUACACCGAUGUUACUCCGUUUUUAUACCGGUUACCCCGCCUUUACACCGAUUUUACUCCGCUUUUACACCGGUUACCCAGAUUUAACACCGGUAUUUUUAACACCGGUGUAAUUUUAUUUUAACACCGGGCGGAGUUAAAAUGAGUCUAUUUUUAACACCGCUCUUUUUACAGUGUAUAUAUCACUAAAUAAUUCCCUGUAGUUAAUAAUUUAUUUAAAUACAAUUUAAAUGCCCUCUAUGUAGUUAGAAGUUUUGCGUUGAAUUUAACAUUAAUCGGGUGUUCUAUAGAUUUUUUUGUUAAUUUAAUUAUUAACACAUUGUGUUUGUGUCGAUUGUUAACGCAAAUUUCAUGUUUAAUAAUUAUACACAUACACUGAAAAAAAUAAUCAGUAGCAGCUACCUAUAGGCAAUCGGUAGCCACUACCGAUUAUUUUUCGCUAGCCGCUACCGAUUAUUUCGGUACCAGUUACCUUAUUUUUAAUAACAACGACCGAUUUUCAGUGUAGAAUCUGUUAUUUUGACCUUUAUUUUUGUGUAAAUUAAACAAAUUUAUAGCAUUAAAAUUAACUAAUAAAUAUGUUUCACUUAAUAUUAAACUUGUAACAAAUAAAUUAUUUGAAUCUA